This 292-nucleotide ribosomal RNA is filed under the name uncultured bacterium. Its description in RNAcentral is "partial 16S ribosomal RNA". It matches the Rfam family "Bacterial small subunit ribosomal RNA", at positions 505 to 796 of the family's 1533-position model. The record is from RNAcentral.
GUGUCAGCAGCCGCGGUAAUACGUAGGCAGCAAGCGUUGUUCGGAAUUACUGGGCGUAAAGAGUGCGUAGGUGGUUGACCAAGUUUGGUGUGAAAUCUCCCGGCUUAACUGGGAGGGUGCGCCGAAAACUGGUUAGCUAGAGUGUGGGAGAGGGAAGCGGAAUUCCAGGUGUAGCGGUGAAAUGCGUAGAUAUCUGGAGGAACGCCUGCGGUGUAGACGGCUUCCUGGACCAUGACUGACACUGAGGCACGAAAGCGUGGGUAGCAAACAGGAUUAGAAACCCUCGUAGUCC